Molecule: long non-coding RNA, 348 nt
Organism: Gambusia affinis (western mosquitofish)
Lineage: Eukaryota; Metazoa; Chordata; Actinopteri; Cyprinodontiformes; Poeciliidae
Exons: 2
Source: RefSeq, a predicted model, not a curated record
CCCCAACAUGCUGUCAGAUACAAUGAUCGACAUUUAUUGGACUUAUUUUAAUAAUUAGAAUAAAAACGACAGUUUAGGAAGCAGCAGAAACAUCCUGAUGUUCCUCCUGACGUCUGAGGAGGAAAACAUUUCAUAUCUGGGAGGUCAAACCUGGUUGAGCAAAAACACUCUGCAGAAAAACUCCAAACUUUAGCACCAAAACCAGAACAAAGAUCUCUGGGAUUUUCUGAGGUUGUGAUGGAAACGUGACAACAGACUGAUUGAUCGUCCUUCUGCCAACUCAACGGUUCCCUGUGGAUUUAUAUUUUUAUUGUCUUUCUGUAAAUAAACUUUUGGAUGAAACCAAGA